AGAGUUUGAUCAGUGCUCAGAGCGAACGCUGGCGGCAGGCUUAACACAUGCAAGUCGAACGGGCGUAGCAAUACGUCAGUGGCAGACGGGUGAGUAACACGUGGGAACGUACCCUUUGGUUCGGAACAACACAGGGAAACUUGUGCUAAUACCGGAUAAGCCCUUACGGGGGAAAAGAUUUUAUCGCCGAAGGAUCGGCCCGCGUCUGAUUAGCUUGUUGGUGAGGUAAUGGCUCACCAAGGCGACGAUCAGUAGCUGGUCUGAGAGGAUGAUCAGCCACACUGGGACUGAGACACGGCCCAGACUCCUACGGGAGGCAGCAGUGGGGAAUAUUGGACAAUGGGCGCAAGCCUGAUCCAGCCAUGCCGCGUGAGUGAUGAAGGCCCUAGGGUUGUAAAGCUCUUUUGGCGGGGAAGAUAAUGACGGUACCCGCAGAAUAAGCCCCGGCUAACUUCGUG
RNAcentral lists this ribosomal RNA (458 nucleotides) under uncultured bacterium. Its description in RNAcentral is "bacterial SSU rRNA". It matches the Rfam family "Bacterial small subunit ribosomal RNA", at positions 8 to 507 of the family's 1533-position model. The record is from RNAcentral.